RNAcentral lists this ribosomal RNA (288 nucleotides) under uncultured bacterium. RNAcentral's name for it is "partial 16S ribosomal RNA". It matches the Rfam family "Bacterial small subunit ribosomal RNA", at positions 337 to 642 of the family's 1533-position model. The record is from RNAcentral.
CCCUACGGGGGGCAGCAGUGGGGAAUAUUGCACAAUGGGGGAAACCCUGAUGCAGCGACGCCGCGUGAGCGAUGAAGUAUUUCGGUAUGUAAAGCUCUAUCAGCAGGGAAGAAAAUGACGGUACCUGACUAAGAAGCCCCGGCUAACUACGUGCCAGCAGCCGCGGUAUUACGUAGGGGGCAAGCGUUAUCCGGAUUUACUGGGUGUAAAGGUAGCGUAGACGGCUGUGCAAGCCAGAUGUGAAUGCCCGUGGCUUCACCCCGGGACUGCAUUUGGAACUGUGUGGCU